This 496-nucleotide ribosomal RNA is filed under the name uncultured bacterium. RNAcentral's name for it is "partial 16S ribosomal RNA". It matches the Rfam family "Bacterial small subunit ribosomal RNA", at positions 28 to 506 of the family's 1533-position model. The record is from RNAcentral.
GAUGAACGCUGGCGGCGUGCCUAAUACAUGCAAGUCGAGCGAACAGACGAGGAGCUUGCUCCUCUGACGUUAGCGGCGGACGGGUGAGUAACACGUGGAUAACCUACCUAUAAGACUGGGAUAACUUCGGGAAACCGGAGCUAAUACCGGAUAAUAUAUUGAACCGCAUGGUUCAAUAGUGAAAGACGGUUUUGCUGUCACUUAUAGAUGGAUCCGCGCCGCAUUAGCUAGUUGGUAAGGUAACGGCUUACCAAGGCGACGAUGCGUAGCCGACCUGAGAGGGUGAUCGGCCAACCGGGAACUGAGACACGGUCCAGACUCCUACGGGAGGCAGCAGGAGGGAAUCUUCCGCAAUGGGCGAAAGCCUGACGGAGAAACGCCGGGGGAGUGAUGAAGGGCUUCGGAUCGUAAAACUCUGUUAUUAGGGAAGAAAAAAUGUGAAAGUAAAUAUGCCGGUUUUGACGGUACCAAAUAAAAAAGCCCCGGCUAACUACGU